Molecule: ribosomal RNA, 1368 nt
Filed under: uncultured bacterium
Lineage: Bacteria
Description: bacterial SSU rRNA
Rfam family: Bacterial small subunit ribosomal RNA
Source: RNAcentral
GAUGAACGCUGGCGGCGUGCCUAAUACAUGCAAGUCGAGCGAACGGACGAGAAGCUUGCUUCUCUGAUGUUAGCGGCGGACGGGUGAGUAACACGUGGAUAACCUACCUAUAAGACUGGGAUAACUUCGGGAAACCGGAGCUAAUACCGGAUAAUAUUUUGAACCGCAUGGUUCAAAAGUGAAAGACGGUCUUGCUGUCACUUAUAGAUGGAUCCGCGCUGCAUUAGCUAGUUGGUAAGGUAACGGCUUACCAAGGCAACGAUGCAUAGCCGACCUGAGAGGGUGAUCGGCCACACUGGAACUGAGACACGGUCCAGACUCCUACGGGAGGCAGCAGUAGGGAAUCUUCCGCAAUGGGCGAAAGCCUGACGGAGCAACGCCGCGUGAGUGAUGAAGGUCUUCGGAUCGUAAAACUCUGUUAUUAGGGAAGAACAUAUGUGUAAGUAACUGUGCACAUCUUGACGGUACCUAAUCAGAAAGCCACGGCUAACUACGUGCCAGCAGCCGCGGUAAUACGUAGGUGGCAAGCGUUAUCCGGAAUUAUUGGGCGAAGCGCGCGUAGCGGUUUUUUAGUCUGAUGUGAAAGCCCACGGCUCACCCGUGGAGGGUCAUUGGAAACUGGAAAACUUGAGUGCAGAAGAGGAAAGUGGAAUUCCAUGUGUAGCGGUGAAAUGCGCAGAGAUAUGGAGGAACACCAGUGGCGAAGGCGACUUUCUGGUCUGUAACUGACGCUGAUGUGCGAAAGCGUGGGGAUCAAACAGGAUUAGAUACCCUGGUAGUCCACGCCGUAAACGAUGAGUGCUAAGUGUUAGGGGGUUUCCGCCCCUUAGUGCUGCAGCUAACGCAUUAAGCACUCCGCCUGGGGAGUACGACCGCAAGGUUGAAACUCAAAGGAAUUGACGGGGACCCGCACAAGCGGUGGAGCAUGUGGUUUAAUUCGAAGCAACGCGAAGAACCUUACCAAAUCUUGACAUCCUUUGACAACUCUAGAGAUAGAGCCUUCCCCUUCGGGGGACAAAGUGACAGGUGGUGCAUGGUUGUCGUCAGCCCGUGUCGUGAGAUGUUGGGUUAAGUCCCGCAACGAGCGCAACCCUUAAGCUUAGUUGCCAUCAUUAAGUUGGGCACUCUAAGUUGACUGCCGGUGACAAACCGGAGGAAGGUGGGGAUGACGUCAAAUCAUCAUGCCCCUUAUGAUUUGGGCUACACACGUGCUACAAUGGACAAUACAAAGGGCAGCGAAACCGCGAGGUCAAGCAAAUCCCAUAAAGUUGUUCUCAGUUCGGAUUGUAGUCUGCAACUCGACUACAUGAAGCUGGAAUCGCUAGUAAUCGUAGAUCAGCAUGCUACGGUGAAUACGUUCCCGGGUCU